This 1903-nucleotide long non-coding RNA is filed under the name Homo sapiens (human). RNAcentral describes it as "long independently transcribed non-coding RNA 1277 (LINC01277)". Lineage: Eukaryota; Metazoa; Chordata; Mammalia; Primates; Hominidae. The record is from RNAcentral.
AAUGGAAUGCUAUCUCUAGAGUACUGAAAGAAACUAAAGGCCAACGUGUGAAAAACAAUCUUCAGAAAUGAACGUUAAAUGAUGACAUUUUCAAACAAACAAGCAACAAAAAGAAGCAAAAAGUAAACAAAAAACAAAAAUUCACAUAAUUUAUUGCUAGGAGUUUUACACUGAAAUGCUGAAGGGAUUUCUACUAGCAAAAGUAAAAAUGAUCUCAUUUGAAAAGAUGGAAAUUCAAGGAGGGAAUGAAGAAUACUGGAUGGGUAAAUGUGUUGGUAACUGUAAAUGAAUACUGACUACACAAAAUUAUGUUGAAUAACUGAAAGAUGAAAACACAAUCACUUGAAGGAGAAAUGUAUGGUCAAACUGCAUGCAGGAAAAACUUCUAUAAAAGAGUUACUUCAUGCUCUGGGUUGGCAGAUACAAUGAGCAGGAGUGCAUCAGAAGUAAUCAAGAAGGUGAUUAGUUGGUGUACUUCAGCAGGAGCAACCAGAUGAAUUGGCUUCUCUAUAUCCCCGUAUUAGCCACAAGCUAGGCAGCAGCCUGCAGGUGGGAGCAAUGCCUAUGCAUGUAUGGAUCAGUGUGCUACAUACAGUCACGUUGACAGCAUGAACCUUCGAUGUGAUGUGAGGAAAAUGGCAUUCUACCUCUGUGUUCUUCCUCCCCAAAAUUUGUAACCACCAUCUAAUCAUGAGGAAAACAUCAUACAAGUCCAAAUUGAGGAAGAUUCUACAAAAUGCCUGAUUAAUAUUCAUCGAAACUGUCAAGGUCAUCAAAAGCAAGGAAAGUCUGAGAAACUGCCACAGCCUAAAGACAAUCCAGGGAAACGUGAUGACUCAGUGGUAUUCGGGGUGGGUUUCUGGAACAGCAAAAGGACAACAGGUACCCUGAGCCACUAUCUAAAUUGUCUGCUUACCUUAUGAAGACACCAUAAGGAGGUAUAACGUGUGGUGAGCACAGGUGAAGAGCUAGAGGCCUGAAACUAGAUGGGGAGGGAGAAGCCAGCCAUGCCUGCAUCCAGGGCUGCACUCAGCCUCCCAGCAUCUGUGCAGAGGCAUCAGUCAAGCCACAGCUAACUGCAGUCCCAGCUAACAUUAUGUGGAACAUCCCAGUCAUCCCAGAUCAUCCCAGUCAACCAAGAUCAUAAAAUUGUUUUCAGCUAUUAAGUUUAAAUAUGUGAAAUAAGGAGAUAAAAAUACUGACUUGGACUCUGUCUGAAUGAAAGGAUUAGUAGAUUAGAUUAGUGAUUCUUAAAAGACUUUCUUGGAUGCAUAUAAGUGUCCACAAAAUAAGAGUAUGAUGGUUUCCAGGUACAAAUAAGAUGGAAAACUAUUUUGUGAAUCAGAAUUAAAUUGGUUUAUUUACUGUAGAACUUCUAAGAGGCUUUAACAUGUACAUUUAAUUAUCAUAAGCCUUAUGAAAACUCCAGGAGGACAGAAGAGUUGCCUGUGACUUUUUUUAAAGUGUUUAUUCACAUCCCAAGGAAGGAUUCCCAGAAGAGAUGAUGCCUAAGCAGUGUCCCAACCAUGAAAUAAAGUCUCCUAGCUACUGGACAAGAUCAUCUCGAAGCUUAUUUCCAGCUCCAAAUGUUAUUAUUUUCCUCAAACCCAUUAUAAAAUGGCCUCUCUUAGCACUAUGAGAUCUGUAAUACAAGAAGUAGAACAAACACAUGAAGUUCCUGUUGGAAAUUCAAACUUCUCAUACAGCCUUCACUGAGUUCUACUCAUUAUGGAUAAAGGCUUCUGCUUUGAGUCACCUAAGUACUUUUGACCCCCAACUUAAUCAAUGCCUUGAAGUGAAAAUACAGUGUCAGGCAGUCCCUAUUCAUGACACAAACAAACCAACCAACUCAUAUCAUGACUUAAUGGUGUGAGACCUCAGUAAAAACUUUAUAUGAACUAAA